GUCUUACGUUAUAUUGAUUAUUCAUUAUAUUAUAAUAUAAACUAUAAUGUACCCAAUGUUAAAAUAAUAUGUGCUCGGAUGUAAUGAUACAAUUUAACAAUGAAGUCGCCCAGACAAUCGUUCGCAAUCGUUUUUCAGGUAUGAAAAUCGAUAUUAUCUUUGAACGAACGACGUGUGUUCACGAUUGAGUAUGUCAAGUAGCUAUA
Molecule: non-coding RNA, 206 nt
Organism: Cinara cedri
Lineage: Eukaryota; Metazoa; Arthropoda; Insecta; Hemiptera; Aphididae
Source: the annotation of a GenBank genome assembly